UAAUGAUUGAUGCCAACUAUGUACCUAUUCCUUGAAAGGAAAACAGUCUACAGUGUAGCUCUUCCACGUUACUACCAAAAGGCCCUAGACUUUUAAGGAUGUGCCUGUAGUUGGUAACAGAGAAUUUGUAUGCUUUCAUAUCAGCUUAGUUGAACCAUACGCUAAGCUAAGUGCUCUGUAUUUCUCGAGUAGUGAAUGCACUAUCAUGACUGUGAAACUCAGUUAAGAUCUGAAAACAAAUCUGGAAGGAUUGGUAAAGAGCACACAUCUCUAAAAGUAUCUGCAGCUGCUCCAGUUAGAGUAAACCUGUCACUCUAGUGAAAGUAUAGAAUAACACUACAGAGAUUGGUCUCCUGGAAUUUUAUGAUCUUUCUUUCUGUAGGUACAGGAUGGUUUGGAUGUUAUGUUUUGAAUGCUCUGCUUUAAAUUCUACAUUGACUGUAACUGUUCACAGGAGGUUUUUUGCUAGCUCCAAAUGGGAGUCAAGUGCAACUUAUUCUCCUAACUCUUCAUUGCUGCCUCUGUCAGUAUAUUAGACUGAGGCUAUAAGCAGAAUUGCCUCUUAUGAUGUAGCUGUAACUACAGAAAGUGGUCUCUCACAUUCAUUGUCAAAGAUGACUUGAUAUAUAAAGUUUCUGUUCUGGUAUAAUAAUGCUGAGUGGGUUGAUGCCACAAUCUACUGAUCAGGAAUUUUCUACUUGCCUUUCCUGAGGGUCUAUCUGUCCAUCAUAUUGAUUUUCCUGUAUGUAUUUUGCUGCAUGUAUAGUAUUGCAAACUAUACAUACCAUUUCCAGAAUAUCUACAUCAGUGCAUGAUAGAUAUCCAGCACAUCCUCUGCUGCUAAGGGCUCAAAAUGAGAGCUUAAACAGUAACUUCCUUGUAAACUACAGGCUUAGGUCAUUCUGAAUCACCUUCCUACCGAAUUACAUCUACUCUGCAUGAAAUAAUUAAAUUAGUCUGUUUGAUGAUGGAAAGAUCAGGAUCUCUAGAGAAUUGAAUAUGUUGAAGGGAGACAUCCAGAUUGGUGCAGGUAGCAGUGUGAACCUAGCAUUUGGUUGAUGGCUUUCACUUUCUGGCCAAUCAGCCUGGACUCAGGAACAGUAUAUUUUGUGUUACCUGCUGUAAGCAUGAGUGAGAGGUUAUUGCACUGAUAAAGGGAAGAGAAAGCUUUUGGGGAGAGUAAGAACUAUUGUUGAGUGAGUAGUAGGAAAUAAAUCAGGAGGAAGCUGCGCUUUUAGUUCUACUACAGAUCUAAUGUAUUGUUUGGCAGGAAAGGCCUUGGCUUUGGGGUCCUCUUCAUGUGUGUUACCCACCUGUAUAAGGACAUGGAAAUUGUUUCUCAGUGGCUAACAUGAAUUAUAUUGUUUUAUGAAUGGGAUGAGUUUAAUAUUCCUUUUUACUAUAUUGUGUAGUCUAAAAAAUGGCUUUUUCCCCCUCUUGUAGUAGAUACCACUUCAUACACUGCAGAUCUGCUGUUUUCACCUACCUCUUUCUUUUUGUGCUAUCAUGCAUUGCUUCUGCAUGCUGUUCUUGUUUCAGGUGGUAACUACAUUUGUCUUAGUAGAGGAAAUGAUGCAAAAAGAUUUAGAAGGAAAUUCUUAUCAGAAUAACCAGCUGCUAAAGAUGAUUCUGACCAUGCAUCAGUUUAUCAUCUCUUCUGCAGAUAUGCUCCAGAAACUCAGUGAUCUUUAUCUUAGCGCUUUAGAGAAGAAGUCAUCCGUGCUGUGUGUAAAGAUAUGCUAUUUUGUAAGGUAUUGGAUUACAGAGUUUUGGAUUAUGUUCAAAAUGGACUCUAAACUAUCAACAACCAUGGAGGCAUUUCAAGAACUGGUUAAAGCUAAUGGUGAGGAGUUGCACUGUCGUCUAAUCGACACAACUCAAAUAAAUUCCAGGGACUGGUCUAGAAAGCUGACACAACGUGUAAAGGCUAACAGCAGUAAGAAACGGAAAGUUUCACUCCUUUUUGAUCACCUUGAGCCAGAAGAGCUGUCAGACCAUCUUACCUAUCUUGAAUUUAAGUCCUUCAGAAGAAUAUCAUUCUCAGAUUAUCAGAGCUACAUUGUGAAUAGCUGUGUGAAAGAGAAUCCAACAAUGGAAAGAUCAAUUGCUCUUUGCAAUGGUAUCUCUCAGUGGGUGCAGCUAAUGGUUCUCAGUAGACCAACACCACAGCUUCGAGCUGAAGUAUUUAUCAAGUUCAUUCACGUUGCACAGAAGCUUCACCAGUUGCAGAAUUUCAACACAUUAAUGGCAGUGAUAGGAGGUCUCUGUCACAGUUCCAUUUCCAGACUCAAGGAAACAAGCUCAUGUGUUCCUCAUGAUGUAAUUAAGGUGUUUAAUGAAAUGACAGAACUGCUUUCAUCUUGCAGAAACUAUGACUGUUAUCGACGUGCUUAUAAUGAGUGCACUAACUUUAAGAUCCCAAUCCUUGGGGUCCACCUGAAAGACUUGAUAUCACUUCAUGAGGCUAUGCCAGAUUACUUAGAGGACAAAAAAAUUAACAUAUGCAAACUGUACUCUCUCUAUAACCACAUAAAUGAGCUAAUACAGCUCCAGGAAAUGCCACUUCCCCUGGAGGCUAAUAUGGACCUUGUUCAUUUGCUUACGCUGUCCCUUGAUCUGUACUACACAGAAGAUGAAAUUUAUGAACUUUCAUAUGCACGAGAGCCAAGAAGUCACCGAGCUGCUCCUUUGACACCUUCCAGACCACCAGUAGUGGCAGACUGGGCCUCAGGAGUAGCCCCAAAACCUGAUCCGAAAACAGUCAGCAAACAUGUUCAGAGGAUGGUGGAUUCUGUCUUCAAAAAUUACGACCAUGAUCAGGAUGGUUACAUUUCUCAAGAGGAAUUUGAAAAGAUAGCAGCCAGUUUUCCAUUCUCAUUUUGUGUAAUGGCUAAGGACUCGGAAGGUCUGAUUAGCAGGGAUGAAAUAACCGCUUACUUUAUGAGGGCUAGCUCAAUCUAUUCCAAAUUAGGACUUGGCUUUUCUCACAACUUCCAGGAGACCACUUACUUAAGACCUACUUUCUGUGACAACUGUGCUGGAUUUCUAUGGGGAGUAAUUAAACAAGGAUUCAGAUGCAAAGACUGUGGAAUGAAUUGCCACAAGCAAUGCAAAGACCUGAUUGUGAUAGAGUGCAAGAGAAGACACAAAACUUCUGUUGCAGACAGCAGCCCAACAUCUGCUCUUGCUUCAAGCCUCUGCACAGUAGCAGUUAAAGAGCAAUUCCAUGGACAAGAAGAAGGACCAUUCACAUUUCCAAAUGGAGUAGUAGAACACAAUGAAGACAGCAAGGACCGAACUAUUAUGCUCAUGGGCUCCUCAGCUCAGAAAAUCUCAGUAAGAUUGAAACCAGCCGUAGUUCAUAAAGGUAUACAGACAGACUCCACACUGCUGGCUGCUGAUGUAUCACAUAGGUCAAUGGAGAAGAAAGAGAAAAGGAUACUAGAAAAUCCUUAUCUCCAGCCCAUCCCACCAUCCCCACGUCCAAGCCCAUUACUAAGCCGUAAAAAAGCAUAUGUUAAAUGGGAAAACAAGGAAUCCAGUCAGAAAACGAAGGAGGAGCAUCACGAGCAUCACAGCUAUAAACCCUCAUACCAGGAACUUGAGCGGGAAAGAAAUAUUCUAAAGGCAGACAAUGAAGGUUUAAAGAUGCAACUGGAGCAGGCACAUAAAACAAUUGAAUCUCUUACGAUUCAGAGAAAAAAUCAUGUUAUUGACAAUCUACAACACAAAGACUGCUCCUAGCAGAUGAGGGGAAGCUUCUUCUGGAAGAACGUAAGACUGAAGGGAACAACUGUGAAAAAGCUGCUUUACCGAGUGAACCGGAAAGACACUCCAAAAGAUUUUAAAACAGAAAUACUCUCUUUAUUCUAUACAUUUCCCUACUGAAAACACACUCCCAAGUCUAUAAAUGAAUUCCUUCAAUUUAAGGUAUGUUAGCAUCAUCUGCACAAUGAACACAGUAUCUUCUGGGAUUGUAUUUGAAAGGAGUGGCACUGUUCCUGAAGCUUAUGUACGUGAUGACCAUGUGGAUUCUACAGUGACUUGGCUGCACAUCUCACGCUACAAGUGCUCUAAGUAGCUACUCAUAAGACUGUCACUUCAAAUUUGGCCCAAAUUCAGGCUCAGCUGUGUUUCAUAUACGUACAGAAAGGAAGAAAAAAUGAAAUGUUCAUACCCCAACUACUGUUUAUUUUCUAAGUAUGAAUUCUGAUCCUUAAAAGAUGAAAGUAAGUAGACUGAAUGAUCUAACAAUGAAAAGGCCAGAGCUAAUGUUAAUACUGAAGACCACUGCCUUUAAAAUAGCUUACAUAAACUUUUGAAAAUACAAAACAAUAUUACCUUUUGGAAUUCUUUGUUACAGUAGCAAUCUGUUAUCCUGUGGGAACUGAUCUCUACUCCAUUUUUGUUUCAGUGCUACUAAUGAAGAUUGAAAAAGUGUACAGACUGUAAACAUUUAUAUAAAGUGUAAGAAAUCAGUUUAAUAUUUAUAAUAGAAAAAAAAAUGUUAAAAUUGUACUUUGCCUCUGAGUUUGUAUCUAAAAGAAAGAAAACUUAACAACAUAUAUUCAUUUUCCUCGAGUCUAUCAUUUGGGACACUUCUGCAGGACUGACCUGGUAUAUGUGAGUCUCAAGUCUACAUUUACAUUCUUGAGCCUGAGGACACCAAGAGAACUUGGGAAGCUGGGCAUUUUCAGAUUACUUUUUCAGAAUUUAGUGGCUGAGACAAUACAGACACUGUUUUGCCAUUACACUGUUCAAGGUAUUCCCAAGCACAGUUCUUCAUUAGCAUUAUCUCUUGCUUUUGUUAAGAACAUUCAUUCACAAAAAGAUGUUACAGCAUGAUAGGUAAGCUUAAACAAGGCUUCUGCAAUUUCUACUAGGGCUCGUACACAGGCAGCGUCACGUCAUCCUGAACCUUUGCUAUUCUUUACCUUACUGCAGAACUCAAAACACUGUAUCUCAUGCCUGUUUUUAUGUCAGGUAGUGAACAUCAAAAUAUCUGAGGGAAGGGAGGGAAGAAGAAGAGGGUGCUAACUACUGAAAAACACCAUUCCUACUUACAGGCAAAUCUGCUCUCCCAACUUUGCACAUACAGAGCAAGGUGUGUUUUGCCUCAGAAUUAUAGAAGUGGAAAAAAAAAAAAAAAAAAAAAAA
This is an RNA transcript of Lagopus leucura (white-tailed ptarmigan), 5157 nucleotides long. It is a transcript of the gene named RAS guanyl releasing protein 1, with no coding region annotated. Lineage: Eukaryota; Metazoa; Chordata; Aves; Galliformes; Phasianidae. The transcript has 17 exons. The record is from RefSeq and is a predicted model, not a curated record.